This 64-nucleotide transfer RNA is filed under the name Sphaerodactylus townsendi. Its description in RNAcentral is "tRNA-Ala". The record is from RNAcentral. Lineage: Eukaryota; Metazoa; Chordata; Lepidosauria; Squamata; Sphaerodactylidae.
GUGGCUCAGUGGCAGAGCAUCCGCUUGGCAUGCACAAGGUCCCGGGUUCGAUCCCCAGGCAACA